GUGCCCUUCUAAGGCUGCCGCAGUGCUUUAAGAGUCUAACAUAGAAGGUUAAAAGCAAGACUCCAUAAAACUCAGAGAAGAGACUGUAAAACUCCUCUGGAACCUGUCUGGAGUCACAACU
This is a small nucleolar RNA of Tupaia belangeri (northern tree shrew), 121 nucleotides long. The record is from Ensembl. Lineage: Eukaryota; Metazoa; Chordata; Mammalia; Scandentia; Tupaiidae.